UCCUUUUUAAAUUACUGAAGGAAAAAUUAGCUUUAGUGUAGAUUAUAUAUGUGCUUUAAUGCUUACAGCAUGGUUCUAAUUUAUGUUUACUUUUCCUACUUCUAGGGCUGAGCUUCCCCUUUUGGUAGCAAGAAAAUAUUAUACAGAAAGGGUAUUAGGUUCAUUCGAUCUAACUGGAAGAUAUAACAUUCUUGCUUGAUGCAUUUGGGGGCUGGUACUCCAUUGUUUUGGACAAUACUUCUACCAUUACUUUGACGCAUUUCAGCUGGGAAGGGCACAUGUCUACAUGGCUUUUCUUCGUUGAAUGUGAAGAAGUUCUAGGCAAUGAAAACCAUGUGAAGAACCAGAAACACUACUAGAGGGUUAAGUUGUGGGUUUGCUUUUAGGAACGAGGCUCCAGCGAGAGAAUAUGAGCCCAUGAGUUCGUCGUAUAAUAUGUAUGAUUAAACAACUCUCUCCUUUUAUGGGAAUGGACAUGACAAUUAUGAUGAUGCUGUUGUUCCUUUGAAAAGGAAGAGCCAUGAGUCCGUCGUGUAAUAUGUAUGAUUAAACAACUCUCCUUUUAUGGGAAUGGACAUGAUGAUUGUGAUGAUGAUGUUGUUCCUUUGAAAAGGUUGUGACAAUGGAA
Helianthus annuus (common sunflower) is the source of this 628-nucleotide long non-coding RNA. RefSeq lists it as uncharacterized. The transcript has 4 exons. The record is from RefSeq and is a predicted model, not a curated record. Lineage: Eukaryota; Viridiplantae; Streptophyta; Magnoliopsida; Asterales; Asteraceae.